RNAcentral lists this unclassified non-coding RNA (240 nucleotides) under soil metagenome. RNAcentral describes it as "partial contains 5.8S ribosomal RNA, internal transcribed spacer 2, and large subunit ribosomal RNA". The record is from RNAcentral.
AACCAUAGAAACCUGCGGAGUACCUGCGGAGGGAUCAUUAUAGUAUAUGGAAUCUCCAUUCUAUAAACCCACUCUGCGUAUCUUGUAACUGUUGCUUCCAUGGGACUUGGUUCCGCCACACCGGCUUCACGGCUGGUGAGCGCCCAUGGAGGGAGAAACAAAACUCUUCUUUGAAAUGUAGUCAGUCUGAACAAGUUUUUAUAAACGUUAAAACUUUUAGCAACGGAUCUCAGAUCGGAA